GACGAACGCUGGCGGCGUGCUUAACACAUGCAAGUCGAACGGAAAGGCCCUGCUUGCAGGGUACUCGAGUGGCGAACGGGUGAGUAACACGUGGGUGAUCUGCCCUGCACUUCGGGAUAAGCCUGGGAAACUGGGUCUAAUACCGGAUAGGAGCCAUUUUUAGUGUGAUGGUUGGAAAGUUUUUUCGGUGUAGGAUGAGCUCGCGGCCUAUCAGCUUGUUGGUGGGGUAAUGGCCUACCAAGGCGGCGACGGGUAGCCGGCCUGAGAGGGUGGACGGCCACAUUGGGACUGAGAUACGGACCAGACUCCUACGGGAGGCAGAAGUGGGGAAUAUUGCACAAUGGGCGCAAGCCUGAUGCAGCGACGCCGCGUGGGGGAUGACGGCCUUCGGGUUGUAAACUCCUUUCGCUAGGGACGAAGCUUUUUGUGACGGUACCUAGAGAAGAAGCACCGGCUAACUACGUG
This 465-nucleotide ribosomal RNA is filed under the name uncultured bacterium. RNAcentral describes it as "partial 16S ribosomal RNA". It matches the Rfam family "Bacterial small subunit ribosomal RNA", at positions 28 to 507 of the family's 1533-position model. The record is from RNAcentral.